Molecule: ribosomal RNA, 538 nt
Filed under: uncultured bacterium
Lineage: Bacteria
Description: bacterial SSU rRNA
Rfam family: Bacterial small subunit ribosomal RNA
Source: RNAcentral
AAUAGAUACCCUGGUAGUCCACGCCGUAAACGAUGGAUGCUAGCUGUUGGGUGCUCGACCCAUCCAGUAGCGAAGCUAACGCGUUAAGCAUCCCGCCUGGGGAGUACGGUCGCAAGAUUAAAACUCAAAGGAAUUGACGGGGACCCGCACAAGCGGUGGAGCGUGUUCUUUAAUUCGAUGAUAAUCGAAGAACCUUACCUGGACUUGACAUCCUGCGAAUUUCUCCGAAAGGAGAAAGUGCCUUCGGGAGCGCAGUGACAGGUGCUGCAUGGCCGUCGUCAGCUCGUGUCGUGAGAUGUUGGGUUAAGUCCCGCAACGAGCGCAACCCUUAUGGUUAGUUGUAUUUUUCUAGCCAGACUGCCCCGGCAACGGGGAGGAAGGAGGGGAUGAUGUCAGGUCUUUAUUGCCCUUACGUCCAGGGCUAGAAACGCGCUACAAUGGCCGGUACAAUGGGCAGCCAACCCGCGAGGGGGAGCAAAUCUCAUCAAAACCGGUCCCAGUUCGGAUUGCAGGCUGAAACUCGCCUGCAUGAAGCCGG